RNAcentral lists this ribosomal RNA (400 nucleotides) under uncultured bacterium. Its description in RNAcentral is "bacterial SSU rRNA". It matches the Rfam family "Bacterial small subunit ribosomal RNA", at positions 955 to 1353 of the family's 1533-position model. The record is from RNAcentral.
GGGGGGGCGAAGAACCUUACCUGGGCUUGACAUGCACGGGAAAGCCGGUGGAAACAUGGGCCCCUCUUUGGAGGUCGUGCACAGGUGGUGCAUGGCUGUCGUCAGCUCGUGUCGUGAGAUGUUGGGUUAAGUCCCGCAACGAGCGCAACCCUCGUCCCUAGUUACCAGCGGGUAAAGGCGGGGACUUUAGGGAGACUGCCGGUGUCAAACCGGAGGAAGGUGGGGAAGACGUCAAGUCAUCAUGGCCCUUACGUCCAGGGCUACACACGUGCUACAAUGGCCGGUACAAAGGGUUGCGAAACGGUGAGAGUGAGCCAAUCCCCAAAAGCCGGUUUCAGUUCGGAUUGGAGUCUGCAACUCGACUCCAUGAAGUCGGAAUCGCUAGUAAUCGGGAUUAGCC